Molecule: ribosomal RNA, 404 nt
Filed under: uncultured Prevotella sp.
Lineage: Bacteria; Pseudomonadati; Bacteroidota; Bacteroidia; Bacteroidales; Prevotellaceae
Description: bacterial SSU rRNA
Rfam family: Bacterial small subunit ribosomal RNA
Source: RNAcentral
CCUACGGGGGGCUGCAGUGAGGAAUAUUGGUCAAUGGGCGCAGGCCUGAACCAGCCAAGUAGCGUGAAGGAUGACUGCCCUAUGGGUUGUAAACUUCUUUUAUAUGGGAAUAAAGUUUUCCACGUGUGGAAUUUUGUAUGUACCAUAUGAAUAAGGAUCGGCUAACUCCGUGCCAGCAGCCGCGGUAAUACGGAGGAUCCGAGCGUUAUCCGGAUUUAUUGGGUUUAAAGGGAGCGUAGGUGGACAGUUAAGUCAGUUGUGAAAGUUUGCGGCUCAACCGUAAAAUUGCAGUUGAUACUGGCUGUCUUGAGUACAGUAGAGGUGGGCGGAAUUCGUGGUGUAGCGGUGAAAUGCUUAGAUAUCACGAAGAACUCCGAUUGCGAAGGCAGCUCACUGGACUGCAA